UCCGUAGCCGGUUUGGUCAGUCUUCCGGGAAAUCUGUCAGCUCAACUGAUAGGCUAUCGGGGGAUACUGCUAGACUUGGAACCGGGAGAGGUAAGAGGUGCUACAGGGGUAGGAGUGAAAUCUUGUAAUCCCUGUGGGACCACCUGUGGCGAAGGCGUCUUACCAGAACGGGUUCGACGGUGAGGGACGAAAGCUGGGGGCACGAACAGGAUUAGAUACCCUGGUAGUCC
This 230-nucleotide ribosomal RNA is filed under the name uncultured bacterium. Its description in RNAcentral is "partial 16S ribosomal RNA". It matches the Rfam family "Archaeal small subunit ribosomal RNA", at positions 518 to 747 of the family's 1478-position model. The record is from RNAcentral.